GACGAACGCUGGCGGCGUGCUUAACACAUGCAAGUCGAACGAUGAAGCCCAGCUUGCUGGGUGGAUUAGUGGCGAACGGGUGAGUAACACGUGGGCAACCUGCCCCAAACUCUGGGAUAACUCCUCGAAAGAGGUGCUAAUACCGGAUACGAACUAGGUAGGCAUCUGCACUAGUUGGAAAGUUUUUCGGUUUGGGAUGGGCCAGCGGCCUAUCAGCUUGUUGGUGGGGUAACGGCUCACCAAGGCUACGACGGGUAACCGGCCUGAGAGGGCGACCGGGCACACGGGGACUGAGAGACGGCCCAGACUCCUACGGGAGGCAGCGGUGGGGAAUAUUGCGCAAUGGGCGAAAGCCUGACGCAGCGACGCCGCGUGAGGGAUGAAGGUCUUCGGAUCGUAAACCUCCUUCAGUAGGGACGAAGCGAAAGUGACGGUACCUAAAGAAGAAGCACCGGCUAACUACGUGCCAGCAGCCGCGGUAA
This 482-nucleotide ribosomal RNA is filed under the name uncultured bacterium. RNAcentral's name for it is "partial 16S ribosomal RNA". It matches the Rfam family "Bacterial small subunit ribosomal RNA", at positions 28 to 523 of the family's 1533-position model. The record is from RNAcentral.